GACGAACGCUGGCGGCGUGCCUAAUACAUGCAAGUCGAGCGGACGAAUCGAAAGCUUGCUUUUGAUUCGUUAGCGGCGGACGGGUGAGUAACACGUGGGCAACCUGCCCUGUAGACGGGGAUAACACCGAGAAAUCGGUGCUAAUACCGGAUAACACGAAAUGUCGCAUGACGUUUCGUUGAAAGACGGCGCAAGCUGCCGCUACAGGAUGGGCCCGCGGCGCAUUAGCUAGUUGGUGAGGUAACGGCUCACCAAGGCGACGAUACGUAGCCGACCUGAGAGGGUGAUCGGCCACACUGGGACUGAGACACGGCCCAGACUCCUACGGGAGGCAGCAGUAGGGAAUCUUCCGCAAUGGACGAAAGUCUGACGGAGCAACGCCGCGUGAGCGAAGAAGGCCUUCGGGUCGUAAAGCUCUGUUGUUAGGGAAGAACAAGUAACGCAGUAACUGGCGUUACCGUGACGGUACUUAACGAGAAAGCCACGGCUAACUACGUG
Molecule: ribosomal RNA, 498 nt
Filed under: uncultured bacterium
Lineage: Bacteria
Description: partial 16S ribosomal RNA
Rfam family: Bacterial small subunit ribosomal RNA
Source: RNAcentral